This 1056-nucleotide long non-coding RNA is filed under the name Anser cygnoides (Swan goose). RNAcentral describes it as "lncRNA (ENSACDG00005005873.1)". Lineage: Eukaryota; Metazoa; Chordata; Aves; Anseriformes; Anatidae. The record is from RNAcentral.
ACCAAGGAUGUGUAAAGGUGCCUCUGACUGACCAAACGUGCUCUAAAGACACGUUAUUUUUACUGCAAUAAAGCCUGUAAAGGGUAAACAAGGUCAGGAUGUCACUAUGUCAAGCACUACACAGGUAGGCUGAGACCUACUGAGCUUGUUACGUAGACAGAUAAAAAAGACAAGAGCGGGGAGAGGAAAUAUUACCAUGGGAAAGCAAGACACAGAGAAACUGAAGUUCUUGAACUAAAGCUUCAAGAUUUGAGUAAUCUAGAUCUCCAGUGCCAUCCCAGUAACUGAAGCGAUUUCUUUAAUUAGUAAAUUUUCAUAAUCCCUUAUGUUAUUGCAGCUUAACACGUUCUCCCACUGCGGCACAUGGAGGCUUUGGCUGUUGAGCCAUGAAGAUGAGCAAGGAAGUCUGGUUUGAGAAAAUCACCCAUGACUCUUCCAUUCUUCCUGACUGCUUAAUGCUGGUCCUGUGAGAGGAAUCACAGAGGCACCAACUGGACCCUAAAAGCAGUAAAUUAGAAAGCACUACUUCUUUCAGCUAUAAGUUCAAGGAGAACAGACACCUUACAUACAAGUGCCCAUAACAGCUUUUGUCCUUCCACGAGGGGCAGAAAUCUUUGGCACCUUCAUUGCAUAUUUUUCGUAGUGAGCCCUCCUGAAUUACUGUGAACAAAACAAGGUGGUUUCAUCUCCACACACUGAGUCAAAAUCAAGCUGAACUGGAUUAAAGGAGUGUCGGAAAAGCGUGGAUUAUCCCAGUGGUGCCAUUUUAUCACAGGUUUACAUUUGUGUCUCUUUUCUCAUACCAAGACCUCUGAAUUUCCCAUUCCCAACAUUUUUGCAGAGACAUUAGCCUUCAUCCUCUGAUCAACCCAGGCACAAAGCUGAAUUGCAGUACAGAUGUAACCAAGGGUAGAUGGAACAGGCUUUUAACUCCUGCUAAAGAGAGAUGCAGGUCUACAUCACGUAGGAGGAGAUAGUGACCUUUCCUGGGUACGACACACUCUUGUUUUCUCUUCUGGAGCCACUUUAUAUGCCCAAGUGCAAGAUGAGGUCUUG